Molecule: ribosomal RNA, 301 nt
Filed under: uncultured bacterium
Lineage: Bacteria
Description: partial 16S ribosomal RNA
Rfam family: Bacterial small subunit ribosomal RNA
Source: RNAcentral
CAGUAGCCGCGGGAAUACGGAGGGUGCAAGCGUUAAUCGGAAUUACUGGGCGUAAAGCGUGCGUAGGCGGUUCGUUAAGUCUGUUGUGAAAGCCCCGGGCUCAACCUGGGAAUGGCAAUGGAUACUGGCGAGCUAGAGUGUGUCAGAGGAUGGUGGAAUUCCCGGUGUAGCGGUGAAAUGCGUAGAGAUCGGGAGGAACAUCAGUGGCGAAGGCGGCCAUCUGGGACAACACUGACGCUGAGGCACGAAAGCGUGGGGAGCAAACAGGAUUAGAUACCCGAGUAGUCCCUGUCUCUUAUAC